CAACCCUCAAGCUCUGCUUGGUAUUGGGUGUUACCUUGCCUGGUACACCUUAAAAUCAGUGGCAGUACCAUUCAGCUUCAAGCAUAGUAAUACUUUCUUGCUUUGGAGGUUGGGUGUCUGCUUGCCAGCAACCUCUAGUUAUCAAAGG
Molecule: unclassified non-coding RNA, 148 nt
Filed under: uncultured Leotiomycetes
Lineage: Eukaryota; Fungi; Ascomycota; Leotiomycetes
Description: sequence contains ITS2
Source: RNAcentral